This 72-nucleotide transfer RNA is filed under the name Bacillus toyonensis. Its description in RNAcentral is "tRNA-Asp". It matches the Rfam family "tRNA". From Rfam's summary of the family: Transfer RNA (tRNA) molecules are approximately 80 nucleotides in length. Their secondary structure includes four short double-helical elements and three loops (D, anti-codon, and T loops). Further hydrogen bonds mediate the characteristic L-shaped molecular structure. tRNAs have two regions of fundamental functional importance: the anti-codon, which is responsible for specific mRNA codon recognition, and the 3' end, to which the tRNAs corresponding amino acid is attached (by aminoacyl-tRNA synthetases). tRNAs cope with the degeneracy of the genetic code in two manners: having more than one tRNA (with a specific anti-codon) for a particular amino acid; and 'wobble' base-pairing, i.e. permitting non-standard base-pairing at the 3rd anti-codon position. Lineage: Bacteria; Bacillati; Bacillota; Bacilli; Caryophanales; Bacillaceae. The record is from RNAcentral.
GGGGAUAUAGUGUAACGGUUACCACGCUGCACUGUCUAUGCAGUAAUACGGGUUCAAAUCCCGUUAUCCUCG